AAAUAUUCUGUAUACAGCUGUAGAUUUGGUGUGUCCCUGGCAGGAGGUGUGCUCAGGAUCCUUUUAUGUCACCGUCUUAAACUGGACCCUGUCUCUUUUUGCACAUGUGCUCCUUGGUACAGAAGGCCCUGUUUGAGGAGGAGGACCACAUCCAGAAGCUUCAGCAGAAGGUGGCCACCCUGGAGAAGGGGAACAAGCAGGUGUGAGAUCCAGUGAAGAAGGUCAAGGAGGUCCCAAGUGCACAAGAACGGCUGCCGCCUGGAGCUGCUAAACUGAAAGAGAAGCUGCCAGAUACAUCAAAAAAUACAUCUAGAUGUGGAACAAUUCUCACGGAACACCUACUGCACGCUGGCAGGUAAAAGGACCAACGUUGUAGGACACAGCCCCAUGUACCCAGCUCCUGAGGAGGAAUACUCAAGUUUUGCUCUUCUCCCAGAAGUGCUCCAGUCCCACCUACCUCACACCAGAAAUGGCUCAGAAAUGGCUUCUCCUCCAAUAACUGGGGAACAAACAGACUCUGACAACCACAGAGCAAAGAGGCCCUGCACAACAUCCAGAGCAGGCUCUGGUUACCACAACACCAGUCACACACUAUCAAGGGGAUAACAGCCAGCACAGACUGAGGAAAGAUGUGGGAUGCAUCCAUACUAAAAACAGGCAUCACACCAAAAAUAUUAGACUCGUGUAGGCUAUACAGGGAUGCUCCCAUAUAUAAACAUCCCUCCAAGACCACAAAAUAGCUCUUUGUCCUAAACUCAUAGAGUCAGAGAAAUAGAAGUAAAAAGCAGAAGAACCACUCCCAAUGAAAAGAUCAAGAGAAAACCCUUGAAAGAACAAACAGUGAAAAAGACCUCUCCAGUCUACAAGACCCUGAGUUCAGAAAGGAGGUAAUAAAAGUACUAAAUGGAUUAGGAAAGACUGUUGAUAGAAAUACAGGUUAUUGAAAAAAGGAACCAGAAACUGUAAGGAGGAGCCAACUAGAAAACUCAUUUGCUGAAAUAGAAGCUGAGCUAAGUGCAAUGCAUAGCAAACUGAAUAAUGCAGAAGCACAAAUAAGUGAUCUGGAAUUUUGAAUAAUGAAAAUCACCCAAUCGGAACAGUAGAAAAACAAAACAAAACAAAAAAAGAGCAAUAUACCAGACCUAUGGAAUAAUAUAGAAUGUACCAAUCUAUGCAUAAUCGGGAUCCCAGAGGAGAGGAAAGAAAAAAAGAGGAUUGAAAAUAUAUUUGAAGAAAUUAGGGCUUAAAAUUUCCCAACCUAAUAAAGGAAACAUACCCAGGUACAGGAACCAUAGAGAUUCCUAAGCACUAUGAACUCAGACAGACAUAACUAAAAUAGCAGCAGUUACAGGCAACAAGAGAAAAAGUUAAUUUCAAGGGAACCCCUCUAAGGCUAUAAGCUGAUUUCUCUACAGGAACAUUGCAGGCCAGAAAGGACAUGCAAGGUAUGUUCAAAGUUCUGAAAGGGAAAAACCUGCUACUGAAGAUACCCUACCUAGCAAGAGAAUCAUUUAGAAUAGAAGGAGAGAGAAAGAAUUUCUCAUGAAAGAACAAAACCAAUACAGCAAUACCAAACCUAUCCCAAAGGAAAUAUUGCAAGUUCUCUAAAUAGAAAACAAGCUAGACAAUAGAGGAAGGAGAAACUCACAGUUGGGAAGUAAACCACUUAAAUAAGCCAGAGGUAAAAAAAUUUUGUGUGUGAAAGUGAUAACUACAAUGAACAAAAAAAUUAAAAUGGGGAGGGGAGUAAGAGAAUGUAUAUAUUUUUUUAGAAUGUACUUGAGCCUGUAUAACUACCAGUCUAAAGCAAGUAGAUAUAAAAUGGGUUAAUAUACUUGAAAAACAUGGUAACCACACAUCAAAAACAUGCAAUAGAUUCAUGAAAACUAAGAGAAUAUAAGUAUAAUAUGAAAGAAAACCAUCAAACCACAAAAGGAAACAGAACUAAGGAGAAAUACAAAAUCAACUGGAAAACAAGGUUUACAAUGGCAGUGAUUACAUAUAUCAAUAAUCAUGAUAGAUGUCCAUACACUAAAUGCUCCAAUCAAAAGACACCCAGUGCCAGACUGGAUAAUAAAACACAAGCCCACAAGAUGCUGCCUACAAGAGAACCACUUUAGGGCAAAGGACAUACAUAGACUGAAAGUGAAGGAGAUAGAAAAAGAUUUCAUGCAAACAAAUGAUGAAGUGGGGGAUGCAAAAUAGACUUUUAAACAAAGGCCCAUGGAAUAUGUAUGCUGUGGUACACGGAAAAACUGGCCAACAGGAGCUUGUUCUACCAGCACAGGGAGCUCUAUCCAAUAUUCUGUGAUGAUCUACAUAAGAAAGAGUGAAAAAGAAUGGGUGUGUGUAUAUGAAUAAAUUAAUCAUUUUGUUGUGCAGCAGAAAUUAUAACAUUGUAAAUCAUGAAGAAAGAUAAAGGACACUAUAUAAUAAAGUGAACAAUACAAGACAAGGAUAUUACAUGCAUUUAUAUAUGUACCCAAUAUAAGAGCACCUAAAUAUAUAAAAUUAACAAAAGGAAUGAAUUGAUGGCAAUACAAUAAUAAGCUUUAAAACCCCACUCACGUCAAUGGACAGAUCUUCUAGAGAGAAAAUCAGUAAGACAACAAAGAUCCUAAAUGAUACAUUAGAUGAGUUACCUAAUUGAUAGUUUCAGGACAUUGUAUCAGAAAAAAUUAACUGGAAUACACAUUCUUUUCAAGCGCACAUGAAACAUUCUCUAGGACUGACCACAUACUAAGACACAAAACUGACCUCAGCAAGUUUAAGAGGAAAGAAAUUACUUCAGGCAUCUUUUCUGACCACAACAGUAUGGAAUUAUAAAUUAACCACAAGAAAAGAGAAAAAAAUUGCAUGGAGAUUUAAACAAUAUGCUACUGAAAGUAAAGAGGUCAAUGACGAAGUCAAACAGUAAAUUUUAAAAAUGCCUUGGGACAAGUGACAAUGAAAAUAUAACCAUACAAACUCUGUGGGAUGCAGAAAAAGCAGUCCUUAGAGGGAAGUUCCUAGUGAUACAGGCCUUCUUUAAAAAGUAAGAAAAAUCACAAACAACCUAACUCACCAUCUAAUAGAAUUAGGAAAAGAAAAACAACACCUGAAGUCAGCAGAAGGAAGGAAAGCAUGAAGAUGAGAGAGGAAAUAAAGAUUUUUAAAACUUGGGAAAAAAGCAAUAAAACCAAAAGCUUAUGGGCGUUCCUGUUGUGGUGCAGUGGAAAUGAAUCUGACUAGUAUUCUUGAGGAUAUGGGUUCGAUUCCUCCCUCACUCAGUGGGUCAGGGAUCUGGUAUUGCCUUGAGCUAGAGGGCAUGGAUUAUAUGUUGCUGUGGCUGUGGUGUAGGCCAGGAGCUAUGGCUCCAAUACAAACCCUAGCCUGGGAACUUCCAAAUGCUGUGGGUGUGGCCCUAAAAAGAAAAAAAAAAAAAGAAAAAGAAUAGUUAAUCUGAACAAAUCUACCAUCGUGGCUCAAAUAGAAUCUAAUUUUAAACUCCCUGCAAACAAAAGUCCAGGACCAGAAAGCUUCUUUGGGGAAUUCUACCGUGUAUACAAAGAACUUCUUCUAUUGAUCCUUUUCAAACUCUUCCAAAAACUGAAGAAAAAGGAACACUCCCAAAGUCAUUUUAUGAAGCCACAAUCACCCUGAUACCAAAACCAAAGACACUGCCAAAAAAGAAAAUUAUAGGCUAAUAUCUGAUGAAUAUAGAUACAAGAAAAUCUCAACAAAAUAUUAGCCAACUGCAUCCACCAACAUAUACAAAAGGUUAUACGAAGACUAAGUUGGAUUCAUCCCAGGGUCACAAAGAUAGUUCAACAAAUGCAAAUCAAUCAGUAUGCUACACCUCAUCAACAAAUGAAAAGACAAAAAAACAAAUAAUCAUCUCAAUAGAUGCAGAAAAAGCCUAUGAUAAAAUUCAACAUCCAUUCAUGAUAAAACCUCUUACCAAAGUGGACAUAGAACAUUUCAACAUAAUAAAAACUAUUUAUGGAGCUCCUGUCAUGGCUCUCAGAAAAAUACCAAAAAGGGAAAGUACAAAAUAGUAUCUUUAAAAUUUGCAUUAGGAGUUCCCAUCGUGGCUCAGUGGUUAACGAAUCCGACUAGGAACCAUGAGGUUGCAGGUUCGAUCCCUGGCCUUGCUUAGUGGGUUAAGGAUCCGGUGUUGCCAUGAGCUGUGGUGUAGAUUGCAGAUGCGGCUCAGAUCUGGCAUUGCUGUGGCUCUGGCGUAGGCCAGCGGCUCCAGCUCCGAUUCAACCCCUAGCCUGGGAACCUCCAUAUGCCACGGGAACGGCCCAAGAAAAUGGCAAAAAA
Molecule: long non-coding RNA, 4305 nt
Filed under: Sus scrofa (pig)
Lineage: Eukaryota; Metazoa; Chordata; Mammalia; Artiodactyla; Suidae
Description: lncRNA (ENSSSCG00040042437.1)
Source: RNAcentral